RNAcentral lists this long non-coding RNA (1406 nucleotides) under Pan troglodytes (chimpanzee). RNAcentral's name for it is "long non-coding RNA NONPTRT008263". Lineage: Eukaryota; Metazoa; Chordata; Mammalia; Primates; Hominidae. The record is from RNAcentral.
GGGACCAAUUACCACUUCAAACAAAAUUACAUUUAGCCUUGUUUACUUUAAAUUGUUUGACUCCUGGUACGGAUGGCAAGACCCCAACAGAACGACACUGGCAACUGCUAGAGGAAAAGAGGCAAGUUUAUCCAAAAGUGUUAUGGAAAUCCCCAGAAGAAGGACAAUGGAAAGGUCCGGUGGAUUUGCUGACGUGGGGACGAGGGUAUGCUUGUGUUUUUACAGGAGAUGGACAAACCGUGUGGGUGCCCUCCAGGUGUGUGUGACCAUGGAACGGGAGACCGGAGGGAUCCGUGGUAUUCAACCGUGGGCCUGUUACCUCCAGUACAAGCCAUGAGCCAGCGGAAUCUGAAUGCAAAGACAGAACAAGGGCCGACCGGAGUCACAAUGACAUCCAACCCCAUAACAUGGGGACAGAUCAAGAAAACGACACAGGAAGCUGAGAAACUACUGGAGCGCCAGGGUCAGGCAAAAACCCCUGACUCCAUGUUCUUGGCCAUGCUAGCUGUAGUGUCCUGUGCGUCUAUAGGAUCGGGUGAACCACCAACCGGCAAUUGAAAGCUGCACAGCCUGAAAUUACCUUUAUUCAAUUAAUGCAAAAACAAAAGGGGAGAUGUUGGAGGCCGAAGGAAUGAGGGUCGUGACCAACUCAGUAUACCACUGGAGGCUCUGUGAGCAAACAGCAAACUGUUCUCAUGAAAGCAGGAUGUUGGCGAACUGACAAACUCUGUCUGCCGCCAGAAGGAAUGCUGGGGGCAGUCAUGUCCCAGGUCCCCUGCUCCUUGAGGUUAUCCACAGGAACAUCCAGAACCUGUUGAACAAAGAAAGGAAUCAUGUGGGCCUGUGUUAAAUCAAAUAGCUGACUGACAGUUAUCCCUUCCUCCCUAUUCACUCUACCUAAUAAAUACGAAGGGCUGUAAAAGCUCAGGUCCCUGUUCCCUAGAAUCAAGGAGCCCCCUGACCCCUUCUUUCAAACAGAUCCUUUUGUCUGUCUCAUUUCUGCAUUCAUCCUCCUUCGUUCGGUCCAGAAGCAACCGCGACAGUCCUGCAUGUGUUGAUGCCACCUGUAUGUGCAGGUGUGACCUCAGGUGUGUGAGUAUCCUUUAUACCCCUUAUCAUCACUGCCUAUUCGCUCUUCCUCCAGCCUCUGGCAACCACUAAUCCACGUUAUGUGUCUAGAUUUGCCUCUUCUGGACACUUCAUAUAAAUGGAGUCAUACAAUAUGUGGUUUCUUGUGUCUGGCUUUUUACCACUGAACGUUUUCAGAGUUCAUCCAUGUUGUAGCAUGUAUCAGUUUUUCAUUCCUCUUUAUGGCUGAAUAAUACUGCAUUGUAUGGAUAUACCACAGUUUGUUUACUCAUUAGUUCAUAGACAUUGGGGUUGUUUCCAACUCUGAUAUUAUAAAU